RNAcentral lists this ribosomal RNA (119 nucleotides) under Trichobilharzia regenti. The record is from RNAcentral. Lineage: Eukaryota; Metazoa; Platyhelminthes; Trematoda; Strigeidida; Schistosomatidae.
GUCGGCGACCAUACCACAUUGAAAGCAUCGGUUCUCGUCCGAUCACCGAAGUUAAGCAACGUUAGGCCCGGUUAGCACUUGCAUGGGUGACCGUCUGGGAAUACCGGGUGAUACCAGCU